UGCCACUUGACUUAAAAUAAGUGGUACAUCCUGCCCAGUGAUUAUUAAACGGCCGCGGUAUCCUGACCGUGCAAAGGUAGCAUAAUCAUUUGCCUAUUAAUUGUAGGCUAGUAUGAAUGGAUAAACGUGAACUUUACUGUCUCCUCUAAGUAAUUAAAACUUUAUAUCCAAGUGAAGAAGCUUAGAUAACCUCGCAGGACAAGAAGACCCUAUAGAGCUUUACCAUUAACCUUAAAUUAUAAGCUAAUUGGUUCGGUUGGGGCGACCAAGGAAUAUUAAACAUCCUUACACAAAUUAGACAAACAAGUCAUAAAAAAGAUCCUUAUUAAAGAUCAUUGGAAUAAGCUACCUUAGGGAUAACAGGCUAAUUCCUCUAGAGAGCUCUUAUUGACAGAGGAGGUUGGCACCUCGAUGUUGGCUUAGGACUUCUUUAUGACGCAGCAGUCAUAACCAGAUGGUUUGUUCAACCAUUAAAUUCCU
This 480-nucleotide ribosomal RNA is filed under the name Limnodrilus hoffmeisteri complex sp. IV. Its description in RNAcentral is "partial 16S ribosomal RNA". It matches the Rfam family "Bacterial large subunit ribosomal RNA", at positions 1829 to 2597 of the family's 2925-position model. Lineage: Eukaryota; Metazoa; Annelida; Clitellata; Tubificida; Naididae. The record is from RNAcentral.